Molecule: ribosomal RNA, 464 nt
Filed under: bacterium CICRPKSB10
Lineage: Bacteria
Description: bacterial SSU rRNA
Rfam family: Bacterial small subunit ribosomal RNA
Source: RNAcentral
ACGUAGCGGUGGAGCAUGUGGUUUAUUCGAUGCACGCGAGAACCUUACCUACUCUUGACAUCCAGCGAACUUGCCAGAGAUGCCCUGGUGCCUUCGGGAACGCUGAGACAGGUGCUGCAUGGCUGUCGUCAGCUCGUGUUGUGAAAUGUUGGGUUAAGUCCCGCAACGAGCGCAACCCUUAUCCUUUGUUGCCAGCGAUUCGGUCGGGAACUCAAAGGAGACUGCCGGUGAUAAACCGGAGGAAGGUGGGGAUGACGUCAAGUCAUCAUGGCCCUUACGAGUAGGGCUACACACGUGCUACAAUGGCGCAUACAAAGAGAAGCGACCUCGCGAGAGCAAGCGGACCUCAUAAAGUGCGUCGUAGUCCGGAUCGGAGUCUGCAACUCGACUCCGUGAAGUCGGAAUCGCUAGUAAUCGUGGAUCAGAAUGCCACGGUGAAUACGUUCCCGGGCUGGGGAUCCCGA